GACGAACGCUGGCGGCGUGCUUAACACAUGCAAGUCGAACGGAAAGGCCCUGCUUUUGUGGGGUGCUCGGGUGGCGAACGGGUGAGUAACACGUGAGUAACCUGCCCUUGACUUUGGGGUAACUUCAGGAAACUUGGGCUAAUACCGGAUAGGAGCUCCUGCUGCAUGGUGGGGGUUGGAAAGUUUCGGCUGUUGGGGAUGGACUCGCGGCUUAUCAGCUUGUUGGUGGGGUAGUUGCUUACCAAGGCGUUGACGGGUAGCCGGCCUGAGAGGGUGACCGGCGACACUGGGACUGAGAGACGGCCCAGACGGCGACGGGAGGCAGCAGGGGGGAAUAUGGCACAAUGGGCGGAAGGCUGAUGAAGAAACGCUGCGUGCGGGAUGACGGCCUUCGGGGUGUAAAACGCUUUCGCCUGUGACGAAGCGUGAGUGACGGUAAUGGGUAAAGAAGCACCGGCUAACUACGUG
Molecule: ribosomal RNA, 468 nt
Filed under: uncultured bacterium
Lineage: Bacteria
Description: partial 16S ribosomal RNA
Rfam family: Bacterial small subunit ribosomal RNA
Source: RNAcentral